CGUGCUCUGGGCUGCCUCCCAAUCGUUGUGCUCUGUAUGGACGAUGAAUGCCUGUGUGUGGCUGCAUGGCGCCGCUGUUUGAGUUCAGUGAAGCUGUUUCUGUUUGUGUGAGGAAGCAUUUCUGACACGUUUUAGCCGUGGCUGAAUAAACAUGGGACGUCGUUCUUCAGACAGCGAGGAUGACAGCCGCAGUCGGCGGAAGAAGAAGCACAGACGCCGCUCUUCUUCUUCUUCCUCCAGCUCAUCAGGCAGCAGAGUGACGAGCCGCAGCAAACAUUCCAGCAGGAGAAGUUCCCGGGACAGAGACAGGGACAGGGACCGGGACCGCGACAGGGACAAAGAUCGAGACCGUGAUCGAGACAGAGAACGAGAUCGAGACCGUGAUCGUGAUCGUGAUAGAAGGCGAAGGCACCGUUCCAGCAGCAGCUCCUCCAGAGGCUCCAGUCACAGGAGGCGGAGCCGCAGCACUGACAAAGGGCGGGGCCACAGGUCACGGAGGUCUCGCUCCCGCAGCCGUAAGAGGUCACCCUUCAAGACUGGGCACUCUGGUGAUGGGAUACGGCAGAUGUUUCGAGGUCCUGAACCUUAGAUUCUUCUCCAACUUGGAGUUUUGGAUGGUGUCUCUAUAUGAACUAGGGUUGUUCCAUAUUGUAUCGUAUAUGGUAAUAUUGUUAUGAUUAUUGGAAUGAUAAAAACAAGCUGUAAAAUGAUAAUUGUGGUAUUUUAUCUUAAAAGUAGUCUCUCUUUUAUUUAAGAGCUAUAUGAGGCAAGAUUUUUUGUAUAAAGGGUUUUAUAUGCAGUUUAUAUGCGUACACCACUAAAUAUAUUGCACUCUAAUUUCAAGUGUCAUUUAAUUUAAAUAAUUAUUAGAUAAAGCCACAUUAUGCACUGGUC
Molecule: long non-coding RNA, 894 nt
Filed under: Astyanax mexicanus (Mexican tetra)
Lineage: Eukaryota; Metazoa; Chordata; Actinopteri; Characiformes; Acestrorhamphidae
Description: lncRNA (ENSAMXG00005022000.1)
Source: RNAcentral